UGGGGAAUUUUGGACAAGGGGCGCAAGCCGGAUCCAGCCAUGCCGCGUGAGUGAAGAAGGCCUUGGGGUUGUAAAGCUCUUUCAGCCGGGAAGAAAACGCAUGGGUUAAUACCCUGGGUGGAUGAAGGUACCGGAAUAAGAAGCAGCGGCUAACUACGGGGCAGCAGCCGCGGUAAUAAGUAGGGGGCGAGCGGUAAUCGGAAUUACUGGGCGUAAAGCGUGCGCAGGCGGUUUGUUAAGAUAGGCGUGAAAUCCCCGGGGUCAAACUGGGGACUGCGUUUAUAACUGGCAAGCUAGAGUAUGGCAGAGGGGAGUGGAAUUCCACGUGUAGCAGUGGAAUGGGUAGGAAUGUGGGGAAAAACCGAUGGCGAAGGCAGCCCCCUGGGCCAAUACUGACGCUCAUGCACGAAAGCGUGGGUAGCAAACAGG
Molecule: ribosomal RNA, 429 nt
Filed under: Actinomycetes bacterium
Lineage: Bacteria; Bacillati; Actinomycetota; Actinomycetes
Description: Actinobacteria bacterium partial 16S ribosomal RNA
Rfam family: Bacterial small subunit ribosomal RNA
Source: RNAcentral